RNAcentral lists this ribosomal RNA (448 nucleotides) under uncultured bacterium. RNAcentral describes it as "partial 16S ribosomal RNA". It matches the Rfam family "Bacterial small subunit ribosomal RNA", at positions 338 to 795 of the family's 1533-position model. The record is from RNAcentral.
CCUACGGGUGGCAGCAGUGGGGAAUCUUGAGCAAUGGGCGGAAGCCUGACGCAGCGACGCCGCGUGCGGGACGAAGGCUUUCUGGUCGUAAACCGCUUUCAGUAGGGACGUGGCCCUCACGGUGACGGUACCUGCACAAGUAGCCCCGGCUAACUACGCGCCAGCAGCCGCGGCAAUACGCAGGGUGCGAGCGUUAUCCGGAUUGACUGGGUGUAAUGGGGGCGCAGGCGGCGAUGCAAGCCAGCAGUGAAAGCCCGGGGCCCAACCCCGGGACUGCUCUUGGAACUGCAUGGCUGGAGUACGGGAGGGGCAGGCGGAAGUCCUGGUGUAGCGGUGAAAUGCGUAGAUAUUAGGAGGAACACCGAUGGCGAAGGCGGCCUGCUAGACUAUGACUGACGUUGAGGCCCGAAGGCGUGGGGAGCAAACAGGAUUAGAUACCCGAGUAGUC